GACGAACGCUGGCGGCGUGCUUAACACAUGCAAGUCGAACGGAAAGGCCCUGCUUUUGUGGGGUGCUCGAGUGGCGAACGGGUGAGUAACACGUGAGUAACCUGCCCUUGACUUUGGGAUAACUUCAGGAAACUGGGGCUAAUACCGGAUAGGAGCUCCUGCUGCAUGGUGGGGGUUGGAAAGUUUCGGCGGUUGGGGAUGGACUCGCGGCUUAUCAGCUUGUUGGUGGGGUAGUGGCUUACCAAGGCUUUGACGGGUAGCCGGCCUGAGAGGGUGACCGGCCACAAUGGGACUGAGAUACGGCCCAGACUCCUACGGGAGGCAGCAGUGGGGAAUAUUGCACAAUGGGCGGAAGCCUGAUGCAGCAACGCCGCGUGCGGGAUGACGGCCUUCGGGUUGUAAACCGCUUUCGCCUGUGACGAAGCGUGAUUGACGGUAAUGGGUAAAGAAGCACCGGCUAACUACGUG
Molecule: ribosomal RNA, 468 nt
Filed under: uncultured bacterium
Lineage: Bacteria
Description: partial 16S ribosomal RNA
Rfam family: Bacterial small subunit ribosomal RNA
Source: RNAcentral